CAUAUAAUCAUGCAUCAGAUAUGCAUGGAUUCAACUUAUCGGUUAAGCAUUAGAUAUGCAUUCUCAGUUUGAGAAACUUAACUUAUCAGAACAAUCAGUCAUACAUUCAUAAAUAAGCUACCCAUGCAUCAGAUAUGCAUAUAAAUUAUGAUAUGCUCAGUUUUCAGUCAUGGAAGCAAUGAAAUCAUGAUCAGUCAUUCAUUUUAUAUAUGCAUCAUUUUAUCUUUUCUCCCCUCUCAAG
This 241-nucleotide long non-coding RNA is filed under the name Capsicum annuum. RNAcentral describes it as "long non-coding RNA (CANN_LNC006910)". The record is from RNAcentral. Lineage: Eukaryota; Viridiplantae; Streptophyta; Magnoliopsida; Solanales; Solanaceae.